This 629-nucleotide long non-coding RNA is filed under the name Piliocolobus tephrosceles (Ugandan red Colobus). RNAcentral describes it as "lncRNA (ENSPTEG00000011142.1)". The record is from RNAcentral. Lineage: Eukaryota; Metazoa; Chordata; Mammalia; Primates; Cercopithecidae.
UAAUUCUAUUGUAUAAAUGUGUGUUUUCUUUUUCUUAUUUUAUUUUUCUUUUUUUUUUAAAAAAAAAAAAAAAACUGUUUUAUUAUAAUAAUUUCCAAUAUAGAAAAAAGUCUAUAUGAUUAUAAAAAAAAAAAUAAAACAUAUGAUUUUUUUUUUUUUUUUAAUAUUUAACAAUUCAUUAUGUAACAAUUCAUUAUGUAACAAUUGAUUAUUUAACAAUUGAUUAUUUAACAAUUGAUUACUUAACAGUUGAUUACUUAACAAUUGAUUACUUAACAAUAAGUAUUGUUUGGUAUGUUACAGAAAAACAAAAGAAAUCUUUUUGAAAAAAGCAAUUGUAAAGUUACAAAAUAUUUAUAUUUUACAAUUUUCUUUUAAAUAAAUAUAUAAAUAUAUAUGAAUUGUUUUUUUUUUUUUUUUUUUUUUUUUUUUUUACCCUUUAAACCAGUCAAAAUGUCAAGAAGAACUAAAAAGGUCGGAUUAACAGGAAAGUACGGUACUAGGUACGGUUCCUCUCUUCGUAAACAAAUGAAAAAAAUCGAAUUAAUGCAACAUGCGAAAUACUUAUGUUCCUUUUGUGGAAAAGUAACUAAUUAAAAAAAAAAAUAAUAAAUAAACUUUAAUUGGCA